Molecule: transfer RNA, 68 nt
Filed under: Vinciguerria nimbaria (oceanic lightfish)
Lineage: Eukaryota; Metazoa; Chordata; Actinopteri; Stomiiformes; Phosichthyidae
Description: tRNA-Asp
Source: RNAcentral
AAGACACUAGUAAAAUAUUACACUGCCUUGUCAGGGCAGAAUUGCAAGUUGAACCCUUGCGUGUCUUA